This 114-nucleotide ribosomal RNA is filed under the name Prolemur simus (greater bamboo lemur). The record is from RNAcentral. Lineage: Eukaryota; Metazoa; Chordata; Mammalia; Primates; Lemuridae.
UCUAUGGCCAUACCGCCCUGAACGCACCCGAUCUCAUCUGAUCUCGGAAGCUAAGCAGGGUCGGGCCUAGUUAGUACUUGGAUGGGAGUAAUGGCAACUGGCUUACCAGUAGGA